RNAcentral lists this ribosomal RNA (467 nucleotides) under uncultured bacterium. Its description in RNAcentral is "partial 16S ribosomal RNA". It matches the Rfam family "Bacterial small subunit ribosomal RNA", at positions 28 to 507 of the family's 1533-position model. The record is from RNAcentral.
GACGAACGCUGGCGGCGUGCUUAACACAUGCAAGUCCAACGGAAAGGCCUCUUUCGGGGGGUACUCGAGUGGCGAACGGGUGAGUAACACGUGAGUAACCUGCCCUUGACUUUGGGAUAACUUCAGGAAACUGGGGCUAAUACCGGAUAGGAGCUCCUGCUGCAUGGUGGGGGUUGGAAAGUUUCGGCGGUUGGGGAUGGACUCGCGGCUUAUCAGCUUGUUGGUGGGGUAGUGGCUUACCAAGGCUUUGACGGGUAGCCGGCCUGAGAGGGUGACCGGCCACAUUGGGACUGAGAUACGGCCCAGACUCCUACGGGAGGCAGCAGUGGGGAAUAUUGCACAAUGGGUGGAAGCCUGAUGCAGCAACGCCGUGUGCGGGAUGACGGCCUUCGGGUUGUAAACCGCUUUCGCUCAUGACGAAGCUUUGUGUGACGGUAGUGGGUAAAGAAGCACCGGCUAACUACGUG